Molecule: long non-coding RNA, 215 nt
Filed under: Elaeis guineensis (African oil palm)
Lineage: Eukaryota; Viridiplantae; Streptophyta; Magnoliopsida; Arecales; Arecaceae
Description: long non-coding RNA (EGUI_LNC025536)
Source: RNAcentral
GGGGCAGUCUGCAAUUUUAUAUCCCUUCUGUCCAUAGCUAAAACAAGAACCAGUAUUCCAUUGGGCAAUUAGAAGACUCAUGCUCUCUUCGGCCACGUCUAGCCGUCUCAUUCUCAUGAUUCUUAUCAUUUGCUUGCUUCUUUGCUAGACCCUUAUUGUUCUGAUUUCGUCCUUGAGUUCCACCAAACCUAUUUCUCUUUUUCUGAUUCCGUUCU